This 332-nucleotide long non-coding RNA is filed under the name Carica papaya (papaya). RNAcentral's name for it is "long non-coding RNA (CPAP_LNC013120)". The record is from RNAcentral. Lineage: Eukaryota; Viridiplantae; Streptophyta; Magnoliopsida; Brassicales; Caricaceae.
AAUUUGCAAAAUCCAAGCUUCUAUAGCUAGGGGAUUAGGUCCAUCGUCAAAGGAGGGAGGGUUCAGUCUUCUAAACUUAUAAAUGUUUUUUGAGAUGGUUCUUUUCCCAUGAUGGAAGUCAUGGGCAGGAGGUGGUUGAUUAUGGUUUUGACCAAUAACAUUGGUCAAACCCUAGAUGGCACUAAAUAAUUCGGUAAACUUGGCCCAAAUCAGAAUGUCCUAGGCCUUCGGGUGCUCAACAGAUGUUCUCCCUCGAGUCAUAGUACUAUAAAAAGGAGAUAAUAAACUUGAUGACUAAUCAAAAAAGGUGAGUUCUAACUUUAAGAAUUUAU